ACGGGGGGUGCAAGCGUUGUUCGGAAUUAUUGGGCGUAAAGAGCGUGUAGGCGGCUGAAUAAGUCAGAUGUGAAAUCCCUGGGCUUAACCCAGGAAGGGCAUUUGAAACUAUUGAGCUUGAGUAGGGGAGAGGAAGGGUGAAUUCCUGGUGUAGAGGUUAAAGUCGUAGAGAUCAGGAGUAACACCGGUGGUGAAGGCGCCUUUCUGGCCCUAAACUGACGCUGAGACGCGAGAGCGUGGGUAGCAAACAG
RNAcentral lists this ribosomal RNA (251 nucleotides) under uncultured prokaryote. Its description in RNAcentral is "partial 16S rRNA". It matches the Rfam family "Bacterial small subunit ribosomal RNA", at positions 525 to 775 of the family's 1533-position model. The record is from RNAcentral.